GAUCCUGGCUCAGGAUGAACGCUAGCUACAGGCUUAACACAUGCAAGUCGAGGGGCAGCGGGAUUGAAGCUUGCUUCAAUUGCCGGCGACCGGCGCACGGGUGAGUAACGCGUAUCCAACCUUCCGUACACUCAGGGAUAGCCUUUCGAAAGAAAGAUUAAUACCUGAUGGUAUGAUGAGAUUGCAUGAUAGCAUCAUUAAAGGUAUUUUCCGGUAGACGAUGGGGAUGCGUU
RNAcentral lists this ribosomal RNA (233 nucleotides) under uncultured bacterium. RNAcentral describes it as "partial 16S ribosomal RNA". It matches the Rfam family "Bacterial small subunit ribosomal RNA", at positions 15 to 237 of the family's 1533-position model. The record is from RNAcentral.